This 495-nucleotide ribosomal RNA is filed under the name uncultured bacterium. Its description in RNAcentral is "partial 16S ribosomal RNA". It matches the Rfam family "Bacterial small subunit ribosomal RNA", at positions 28 to 507 of the family's 1533-position model. The record is from RNAcentral.
GACGAACGCUGGCGGCGUGCCUAAUACAUGCAAGUAGAACGCUGAAGGAGGAGCUUGCUUCUCUGGAUGAGUUGCGAACGGGUGAGUAACGCGUAGGUAACCUGCCUGGUAGCGGGGGAUAACUAUUGGAAACGAUAGCUAAUACCGCAUAAUAGUAGAUGUUGCAUGACAUUUGCUUAAAAGGUGCAAUUGCAUCACUACCAGAUGGACCUGCGUUGUAUUAGCUAGUUGGUGAGGUAACGGCUCACCAAGGCGACGAUACAUAGCCGACCUGAGAGGGUGAUCGGCCACACUGGGACUGAGACACGGCCCAGACUCCUACGGGAGGCAGCAGUAGGGAAUCUUCGGCAAUGGACGGAAGUCUGACCGAGCAACGCCGCGUGAGUGAAGAAGGUUUUCGGAUCGUAAAGCCCUGUUGUAAGAGAAGAACGAGUGUGAGAGUGGAAAGUUCACACUGUGACGGUAUCUUACCAGAAAGGGACGGCUAACUACGUG